Molecule: long non-coding RNA, 1438 nt
Organism: Nematostella vectensis (starlet sea anemone)
Lineage: Eukaryota; Metazoa; Cnidaria; Anthozoa; Actiniaria; Edwardsiidae
Exons: 2
Source: RefSeq, a predicted model, not a curated record
AAUAAUUGUCCUUCAACAAUUGUGUUGUUCGUCAGAAGGUUUUUGUGGGACCAUACAGAUCACUCCAAUCAAGUAAGAACGUCCUUCCAUUGUUCACCUCAACUCGAGAAAAGAGCCACAUUUCCGCUUGAGUUGUUCACUCUUCGUACGGUUUUUUGCUGAGAGCCGCUAAAAAACAUAAGACGAAGAAAACGAAAGACAUUGGAUGAAAAUGGCUCCCUCGAACGCCACCAUCGAUACAACUGCUGUCGUGAUGAAGAUUAUGGAGAGAGAACGCUUCACACUGAAUGGUUAUCUUUUCUUGUUUAUCGUAAGCGCAGUCUCGGUCGCUAUCUUCUGCGUGGUGAAUUUUCUUUGCUGUAGAGAUAGCCGACGCGAGGAAAAGCUGUUUGCUAUCAACCACCCCGAGGAACAUCGCCAGACGAUGGAGGAUCUUGGACUCAUGUAACAUUUUCGCGCCAAAACUUGGACGUCUUUGUAAAUACCGAAUCCAGCUGUCAAGCAGUGUGUAGAUGACCUGUUUUUUUCCUGUGCUUCUACGUGUUCUUCUAAUGCUUCCAGGACAACAAUUAGAUAUGCAGGCGCCAACUCCGGUAGAAAUACCCUAACUAGAAGAGCCAAAAAUGCUCUAGAGGUAGUAUUAAAAAAAGGCAAAGGCUUAUCUUAUCUUUCAUAUUUCUAGAGACUUACACGUACAAAAUCUUAGAAUCUUAUAGAUACGAAAGAAAAGUAGAGUUAGCUGGUGAAAGAAUUACAAGCUGUGCUUUGGUCUGUAGAGAAGAAAAUCAGUCCCUACACUAAAAUAUGUUGCGUAGGAUCAGAUUAUCUAAUGUCAAGGGGGGGGGGGGGGGGUAUUGUAUUCUAUAAGAUUGGACAGUGCCAGUCCUAGAAGGUCUGCUUCCAAACUACCUCCACCCUGUUCGUAUGGCUUUAGAUAUAAUUUACUCUCUAUCACAAUUUCAUAUCGGGUAUACUUAAUGUAAACAUUUCAAAGAUUGAAAGAUAAGAUAAAGGAUAUUACGAAACAUACAUGGUGUUUAGUUCAUAGAUAAAAGGGGCUUACCAUAUGUAAGCUCUAAACCUUAGCCCACAGUUUUACUUUAAAUAAGUUUGCACUCGGAGAAUCUGUGUCGUAACCCGCAGUGCAUCAUCGGUAUUAAAUAAAUAAUAGAAUAAGCGUUAAUAAACAAACACAGGCUUAGAAAGCUUUAGCAUUCUUGUUUAUGUACCUCUAAAUUUUCACAUGGCGUUCAGAGACCAGCAUUUUUACGUUAACCAUGAAUUACCGCGGGUUAGGAUACAUUGAUUCGUAGGUGCAACAUUGAUUGAAAUAAGUAAACUAAAAAACUAACAACAAAACUAAAAAAUAGAUGAUGGAAAUUUAAAAAUUUCAGAAAUAUGCCCGGCCCUGGAUUAUGUGUAAUAACUUACUGCCAAA